This 487-nucleotide ribosomal RNA is filed under the name uncultured bacterium. RNAcentral describes it as "bacterial SSU rRNA". It matches the Rfam family "Bacterial small subunit ribosomal RNA", at positions 28 to 507 of the family's 1533-position model. The record is from RNAcentral.
GAUGAACGCUAGCUACAGGCUUAACACAUGCAAGUCGAGGGGCAGCGGGAUUGAAGCUUGCUUCAAUUGCCGGCGACCGGCGCACGGGUGAGUAACGCGUAUCCAACCUUCCGUACACUCAGGGAUAGCCUUUCGAAAGAAAGAUUAAUACCUGAUGGUAUGAUGAGAUUGCAUGAUAGCAUCAUUAAAGAUUUAUCGGUGUACGAUGGGGAUGCGUUCCAUUAGGUAGUAGGCGGGGUAACGGCCCACCUAGCCGACGAUGGAUAGGGGUUCUGAGAGGAAGGUCCCCCACAUUGGAACUGAGACACGGUCCGAACUCCUACGGGAGGCAGCAGUGAGGAAUAUUGGUCAAUGGACGAGAGUCUGAACCAGCCAAGUAGCGUGAAGGAUGAAGGUCCUACGGAUUGUAAACUUCUUUUAUAAGGGAUAAAGUGGAGUCGUGACUCUUUUUGCAUGUACCUUAUGAAUAGGACCGGCUAAUUCCGUG